This 657-nucleotide ribosomal RNA is filed under the name Limosilactobacillus fermentum. Its description in RNAcentral is "bacterial SSU rRNA". It matches the Rfam family "Bacterial small subunit ribosomal RNA", at positions 207 to 849 of the family's 1533-position model. The record is from RNAcentral. Lineage: Bacteria; Bacillati; Bacillota; Bacilli; Lactobacillales; Lactobacillaceae.
AUGGCUUCUCGCUAUCACUUCUGGAUGGACCUGCGGUGCAUUAGCUUGUUGGUGGGGUAACGGCCUACCAAGGCGAUGAUGCAUAGCCGAGUUGAGAGACUGAUCGGCCACAAUGGGACUGAGACACGGCCCAUACUCCUACGGGAGGCAGCAGUAGGGAAUCUUCCACAAUGGGCGCAAGCCUGAUGGAGCAACACCGCGUGAGUGAAGAAGGGUUUCGGCUCGUAAAGCUCUGUUGUUAAAGAAGAACACGUAUGAGAGUAACUGUUCAUACGUUGACGGUAUUUAACCAGAAAGUCACGGCUAACUACGUGCCAGCAGCCGCGGUAAUACGUAGGUGGCAAGCGUUAUCCGGAUUUAUUGGGCGUAAAGAGAGUGCAGGCGGUUUUCUAAGUCUGAUGUGAAAGCCUUCGGCUUAACCGGAGAAGUGCAUCGGAAACUGGAUAACUUGAGUGCAGAAGAGGGUAGUGGAACUCCAUGUGUAGCGGUGGAAUGCGUAGAUAUAUGGAAGAACACCAGUGGCGAAGGCGGCUACCUGGUCUGCAACUGACGCUGAGACUCGAAAGCAUGGGUAGCGAACAGGAUUAGAUACCCUGGUAGUCCAUGCCGUAAACGAUGAGUGCUAGGUGUUGGAGGGUUUCCGCCCUUCAGUGCCGG